Molecule: long non-coding RNA, 336 nt
Filed under: Ananas comosus (pineapple)
Lineage: Eukaryota; Viridiplantae; Streptophyta; Magnoliopsida; Poales; Bromeliaceae
Description: long non-coding RNA (ACOM_LNC003842)
Source: RNAcentral
UCUUUUUUCCUAUCUUUCAUCUAUUUUGUUUUCCCUUCACUAUUUAACUGUCAUUUACUUAUUUUGUUUUACUCUUAACUUUUAACUAUUCUCGUUUACUUAUUUUGUUUUACUCUUAACUUUUAACUAUUCUCGUUUACUUAUUUUGUUUUACUCUUAACUUUUAACUAUUCUCGUUUACUUAUUUUGUUUUACUCUUACCUUUUAACUAUUUCCCUUGAUUUUCUUCCCUCUAGCUUAUCCCACUCCCCCCCUCCUCCCCGCGUACUGCCUGUCUUUCUUCUUUGCUGUUCCUUACUUGCAUUGUUCUAUGUUUCCUAGCUUCCUUUGCUGCAU